CUAGCCGUAAACGAUGGAUACUAGGCGUUGUGAGUAUCGACCCUCACAGUGUCGUAGCUAACGCGUCAAGUAUCCCGCCUGGGGAGUACGCGCGCAAGCGUGAAACUCAAAGGAAUUGACGGGGGCCCGCACAAGCGGUGGAGUAUGUGGUUUAAUUCGAUGCAACGCGAAGAACCUUACCAGGACUUGACAUGUCGCGAAUCUCAGGGAAACUUGAGAGUGCCUUCGGGAGCGCGAACACAGGUGGUGC
Molecule: ribosomal RNA, 250 nt
Filed under: uncultured Chroococcidiopsis sp.
Lineage: Bacteria; Bacillati; Cyanobacteriota; Cyanophyceae; Chroococcidiopsidales; Chroococcidiopsidaceae
Description: partial 16S ribosomal RNA
Rfam family: Bacterial small subunit ribosomal RNA
Source: RNAcentral